This 503-nucleotide ribosomal RNA is filed under the name uncultured bacterium. RNAcentral's name for it is "partial 16S ribosomal RNA". It matches the Rfam family "Bacterial small subunit ribosomal RNA", at positions 30 to 523 of the family's 1533-position model. The record is from RNAcentral.
AUUGAACGCUGGCGGCAGGCUUAACACAUGCAAGUCGAGCGGGGUGAUGGUGCUUGCACUAUCACUUAGCGGCGGACGGGUGAGUAAUGCUUAGGAAUCUGCCUAUUAGUGGGGGACAACAUCUCGAAAGGGAUGCUAAUACCGCAUACGUCCUACGGGAGAAAGCAGGGGAUCACUUGUGACCUUGCGCUAAUAGAUGAGCCUACGUCGGAUUAGCUAGUUGGUGGGGUAAAGGCCUACCAAGGCGACGAUCUGUAGCGGGUCUGAGAGGAUGAUCCGCCACACUGGGACUGAGACACGACCCAGACUCCUACGGGAGGCAGCAGUGGGGAAUAUUGGGCAAUGGGGGGAACCCUGAUCCAGCCAUGCCGCGUGUGUGAAGAAGGCCUUAUGGUUGUAAAGCACUUUAAGCGAGGAGGAGGCUCUUUUGGUUAAUACCCAAGAUGAGUGGACGUUACUCGCAGAAUAAGCACCGGCUAACUCUGUGCCAGCAGCCGCGGUAA